This 372-nucleotide ribosomal RNA is filed under the name Panthera onca (jaguar). RNAcentral describes it as "partial large subunit ribosomal RNA". It matches the Rfam family "Bacterial large subunit ribosomal RNA", at positions 1990 to 2536 of the family's 2925-position model. The record is from RNAcentral. Lineage: Eukaryota; Metazoa; Chordata; Mammalia; Carnivora; Felidae.
GUAUGAAUGGCCACACGAGGGCUUUACUGUCUCUUACUUCCAAUCCGUGAAAUUGACCUUCCCGUGAAGAGGCGGGAAUAUAACAAUAAGACGAGAAGACCCUAUGGAGCUUUAAUUAACCGACCCAAAGAGACCCUGAUAAUUAACCGACAGGAAUAACAUACCUCUACCAUGGGCCGACAAUUUAGGUUGGGGUGACCUCGGAGAAUAAAGCAACCUCCGAGUGAUUUAAAUCUAGACUAACCAGUCGAAAGUAUUACAUCACUUAUUGAUCCAAAAACUUGAUCAACGGAACAAGUUACCCUAGGGAUAACAGCGCAAUCCUAUUUUAGAGUCCAUAUCGACAAUAGGGUUUACGACCUCGAUGUUGGA